GCUCGGAGGGAUUGGAACGCUGGCUUCAGUCGGAGCCUCUGUCACAAUAUCGGAUGAUGUUGCUUCCCUGGCCAUGGAGCUAAUCCCCAAAUCUCAGCUGCAGGAACAGAGAGAAGGAUUCUGCUCCAGCCCUGCCCCUGGAGGGAGGUGGGGCUGUGACAGCGGCGACUCCAGGGCUGAAGGGCCGAGUCCAAGAGCCAGGCGCUGGCGCUGGGGCUGUUACAGACGGGCACGGUGCGGGAUGUAACGCACACUGACCAGGGCUGUGCACAAAGGGGUAACUCCUAAAGUAGCUGCUUUCCUCAGGAAGUUGUUGAAAUGGCAAAGCCACCCAUAGAAUACCAGCCUAUAGAGCUUGUCCAAUUCCUAUCACAGACACAGUUCCUUCUCCUUCAGCUGAAUUUCUAAAUCCAUCCCAAACCCAAACCGCUUCACAGCAAUUGACACCUGAUCUGUUAUUCAGAUUCAACAAUGAUACCUGCUCUGACAACUUGCUAACAAGCUUCUAUGACAACAGUCAACAUUCUGAACAGCCGUGGUCGAAGUCCAGGAACAAUCUGAAUGAACAAACUGAUGUGAAGGGCACGAUGGGUGAAAUGCUGGUGCCUCGUGCUGGCGUAAUCCUCCUCACAGACAGAAAUACGGAUGGACUGGGAAAUGCCCAUGGAAAGUGCUUGUACUAG
RNAcentral lists this long non-coding RNA (683 nucleotides) under Chrysemys picta bellii (western painted turtle). Its description in RNAcentral is "lncRNA (ENSCPBG00000024957.1)". Lineage: Eukaryota; Metazoa; Chordata; Testudines; Emydidae. The record is from RNAcentral.